Molecule: RNA transcript, 2488 nt
Organism: Abrus precatorius (Indian licorice)
Lineage: Eukaryota; Viridiplantae; Streptophyta; Magnoliopsida; Fabales; Fabaceae
Gene name: pentatricopeptide repeat-containing protein At5g27460
Exons: 4
Source: RefSeq, a predicted model, not a curated record
GACCAUCUCCUGUCAUCGGCGACGCCGUAGCUUCAACAUGGCGAACCGCUCCCUCUCCGCCGGACUCAAACGGUACGCCAAACCUAUUCUCCUUUCCCCGCAUAUUCAUGACAACGCUAAACUUGCAAAAUUUAGCAGCAUCAGUUGUGUGUUCGGUGCACGAAGUCUAUGUAGCACCGCAGCUACUCGCGCUUAUGCGUUCAAUGCGACGGAGGAGCCUUUCGCGCAAAACAACCCGAAGAACCGAAUUCCAGGACUCAGAUCACCAAAGAAGAGUCCAGUACUAGCGCUUCAAAAUUGGGUGGACCAAGGAAACAGGAUUUCACCCUCCGAGCUCAGACGCAUCGCCAGAGACCUUGUUAAAUCGAAGCGCUACCACCACGCCCUCGAGGUCUUUAAAUGGAUGGAAAACCAGAAGAAGUUCUAUGUGAUCCCAUCUGAUCAUGCUAUGAAAUUGGAAUUGAUCAUUAAAAAUUAUGGUCUAAUGGAAGCUGAAGACUAUUUUAUGAAUAUACCUGACUCAGCUGCAAAGAAAGUUGCCUGUCUCACCCUUCUACGUGGCUAUAUAAGAGAGAGGGACACUAGUAAAGCUGAGACUUUCAUGGUGAAGCUCUAUGAACUGGGGCUGGUGGUGAGCCCUCACCCUUAUAAUGAGAUGAUGAAACUAUAUCUAGCCACCUGUGAGUACAGGAAGGUACCCCUUGUUAUCCAGCAAAUGAAGCAUAAUAAAGUACCCUGCAAUGUUCUAUCCUACAACCUUUGGAUGAAUGCUUGUGGUGAGGAAGUAGGAUAUGGGGUUGCAGCAGUAGAGGCAGUUUUUAGAAUAAUGCAAAACGACAAGACUGUUGAAGUUGGAUGGAGCAGUCUUGCUACAUUAGCCAAUGUUUAUAAGAAAGUGGGACAAUCUAAGAAAGCUGUUCAGGUUCUCAAAAUUGCUGAAAAUAAACUAUCUACCAGUAACCAUCUUGGUUAUUUCUUCCUAAUAACACUAUAUACUUCUUUGAAGCAAAAGGAAGGAGUCUUGCGGUUAUGGGAAGCUAGUAAGGCAGUUGGUAGAAGAAUGAGUUGUGCCAACUACAUUUGCAUAUUAACAUGCUUGGUGAAACUUGGGGACAUUGUACAAGCCAAGAGAAUCUUCUUAGAAUGGGAGUCCAAUUGUCGGAAGUAUGAUAUCAGAGUCUCUAAUGUUCUUUUGGGUGCAUAUGUGCGGAAUGGAUUAAUGGACAAAGCUGAAUCAUUACAUCUCCACACAUUGCAGAAGGGUGGUUGUCCAAACUACAAAACGUGGGAAAUUCUCAUAGAAGGAUACAUCAAUAGGCAAAAAAUGGAUGAGGCUAUUAUUGCCAUGAGAAGAGCUUUGACUAUGAUGAAAGAUUGUCAUUGGAGGCCACCACAUGGACUUGUUUUAGCCAUUGCAGAGUAUUUGGAAAAAGAUGGGAACUUUGAAUAUGCUAAUAAGUAUAUUACAGACAUCCAUAAUUUUGGUCUUUUUAGUUUAUCGUUGUAUAAAAUAUUGCUUAGAAUGCACCUCUCUGCAAACAAACCACCUUUCCAUAUCCUUAAAAUGAUGGAUGAAGAUAAAGUUGUGAUGGAUAAUGAGACACUUUCCAUUCUCAAAGCCUUCACUAGGUAGGUAACAUCAAUCCAUUAAGAUUUUCUGGUUGCUUGUUGCAAGGUGUGCAUCCCCCCAUCAGUUUGUUGUUGCACGUCGUAAGAUGGAAGGAGGAUUUCAUGUACCUCCAUGAAGAUCCUCAACAUCUGUACUCAUAUUUUUGUAAGCUCCAUUCAGGUUGAAGUGCUAGGAGGUGAAGCCAGUAACCUUGAAGUCAAUUCCAUACUUGGAAUCUGAGAGAGAGGAUGGGCUCCUUGGCAAUUUAAGGUGGAAAAGCUGCAGUUGUUCAGCGUUUAAUGUUCAAAUUGAGAUACAUAGCCAAAGGAAAUUUACUCCAAGGUAAUAGAGAACUGGAAAGAUAAACAACCCUAGCCAUGAGAGCAGCCAGCUUAUUUGGGAGAACACCAGGGUGUCUUUAGAUGUCUAUUGCUGGGCAAUGUUUUGGAUAACAUUUUGAAGGGAAAAUUGCAACAACUGUAUUAGUACCGACAAUUUUGGUCUUCCAAGUUUAUCACUGUAUUGCGUGGACUGCACCUUUCUGACGAUUAGCUGACCUCUUCCAUCUUCAAAAUUUUGGAAGAAUGAUCAGAAACUUCUAUUCUUGUAGCAUUUAAUGGGUUUCAUUUUAAUUGACAAAUUCCUACUUGUUUCCUGCUGAGCAUGUUAUGUUUUUUCUUGGAAAAAUUCGAUUCAUGCAUCUUGUCGAUGCGUGUUUAGGUUUUAUUUAGACUUGAGCAAGAGGAUCACGAAUGGUACUGAGAAGUCCAACGCUGAGAUUUUUUAAAGCUUUUUGGUCCAUCAUCAACCCAGAUAUUUGUUCCAUUCAGCAAUCAAUUCCACCAUAUAGUUAAAUAUCAUUCAAGGUGUUUCCUUGAU